AUUGAACGCUGGCGGCAGGCCUAACACAUGCAAGUCGAGCGGAUGAAGGGAGCUUGCUCCUGGAUUCAGCGGCGGACGGGUGAGUAAUGCCUAGGAAUCUGCCUGGUAGUGGGGGAUAACGUCCGGAAACGGGCGCUAAUACCGCAUACGUCCUGGGGAGAAAGUGGGGGGUCGUCGGAACUCACGCUACCAGAGGAGCCGCGGUCGGAUUAGCUAGUUGGGGGGGUAAAGGCCUUCCAAGGCGACGAUUCGUAACCGGUCUGAGUGGAUGAUCAGUCACACUGGAACUGGGACACCGUCCAGGCUCCUACGGGAGGCCGCAGUGGGGAAUGUUGGACAAUGGGCGAAAGCCUUAUCCAGCCAUGCCGCGUGUGUUAAGGAGGUCUUCCGAUUGGAAAGCACGUUAAGUUGGGAGGAAGCGCAGUAGGCUAAUACCUUGCGGUUUUGACGUUACCGACAGAAUAAGCACCGGCUAACUUCGUG
RNAcentral lists this ribosomal RNA (483 nucleotides) under uncultured bacterium. Its description in RNAcentral is "partial 16S ribosomal RNA". It matches the Rfam family "Bacterial small subunit ribosomal RNA", at positions 30 to 507 of the family's 1533-position model. The record is from RNAcentral.